CAGCCGCCGCGGGAAUACGUAGGUGGCAAGCGUUGUCCGGAAUUAUUGGGCGUAAAGGGCUCGUAGGCGGUUUCUUAAGUCUGAUGUGAAGGCCCCCGGCUCAACCGGGGAGGGUCAUUGGAAACUGGGAAACUUGAGUGCAGAAGAGGAGAGUGGAAUUCCACGUGUAGCGGUGAAAUGCGUAGAGAUGUGGAGGAACACCAGUGGCGAAGGCGACUCUCUGGUCUGUAACUGACGCUGAGGAGCGAAAGCGUGGGGAGCGAACAGGAUUAGAUACCCGCGUAGUCCCUGUCUCUUAUAC
Molecule: ribosomal RNA, 301 nt
Filed under: uncultured bacterium
Lineage: Bacteria
Description: partial 16S ribosomal RNA
Rfam family: Bacterial small subunit ribosomal RNA
Source: RNAcentral